GAAGUUCGCCAGGCAGUCGCUGCGCACCUCGCGGUGCGUGGAGGAAAGUCCGGGCCCCGCAGAGCAGGAUGCCGGCUAACGGCCGGGCGCCGUGAGGCGACGGAAAGUGCAACAGAGAGCAGACCGCCGAUGGCCGUCCGGGCUUCGCCGCCGCAAGGCGGCAAAGUCCCCCUCUCGAAGAGGGUGGUGCGAUCGGGCGAAAGUCCGAUGUAUCAGCCGCGGUCACUCCGGGCUUGCCCGGAGUGACCGCGGCAGGCGCGGCGCAAGCUGCGCCUGACGGCACAGGUAAGGGUGAAACGGUGCGAGAUCGCGCGAGUGCGACCGGCCGGCGCAAGCCGGUCGGGAGCGUGAGCGAGAUCUCGGGCGGGGCGAAAGCUCCGUCGUGUAAGAGACCACCGCGGGACUGGCAACAGGACCGGCACGGCAAACCCCAUCCGGGGCAAGGCCAAAUAGGGGAGCGAUGGCGUGGCUCGCGCUGCUCCCGGGUAGGCUGCUUCAGGGUCGCGGCAACGCGGCUCGCAGAGGAAUGAUUGCCCGGGCGUGCCGGCUAUGGUCGGCACGCCUCGACAGAACCCGGCUUAUCGGCGGACUUCCCCA
RNAcentral lists this RNase P RNA (597 nucleotides) under Pseudazoarcus pumilus. Its description in RNAcentral is "Bacterial RNase P class A". It matches the Rfam family "Bacterial RNase P class A". Rfam says of the family: Ribonuclease P (RNase P) is a ubiquitous endoribonuclease, found in archaea, bacteria and eukarya as well as chloroplasts and mitochondria. Its best characterised activity is the generation of mature 5'-ends of tRNAs by cleaving the 5'-leader elements of precursor-tRNAs. Cellular RNase Ps are ribonucleoproteins. The record is from Rfam by way of RNAcentral. Lineage: Bacteria; Pseudomonadati; Pseudomonadota; Betaproteobacteria; Rhodocyclales; Zoogloeaceae.